UAUUCUGCCCUCCUGGUAUUGAUGACAAGCUUCGACUACGGUUCGACGCGCGCGAAGCGAGAGACCGUUGCCGCAGGCAACGGCCCGAAGGGCGAGGCGCUUUAGCGCCGAGUAAUCCUUCCCCCACCACCA
Molecule: small RNA, 132 nt
Filed under: Klebsiella pneumoniae
Lineage: Bacteria; Pseudomonadati; Pseudomonadota; Gammaproteobacteria; Enterobacterales; Enterobacteriaceae
Description: RtT sRNA
Rfam family: RtT RNA
About the family: This family represents a bacterial cis-regulatory element known as RtT RNA. The exact function of RtT is unknown although it is thought that it may be involved in changing the cellular response in relation to amino acid starvation.
Source: RNAcentral